CCUACGGGCGGCAGCAGUGGGGAAUAUUGCACAAUGGGGGAAACCCUGAUGCAGCGACGCCGCGUGAGUGAAGAAGUAUUUCGGUAUGUAAAGCACUAUCAGCAGGGAAGAAAAUGACGGUACCUGAUUAAGAAGCCCCGGCUAACUACGUGCCAGCAGCAGCGGUAAUACGUAGGGGGCAAGCGUUAUCCGGGUUUACUGGGUGUAAAGGGAGCGUAGGCGGCAACACAAGUCAGAUGUGAAAUACAGGGGCUUAACCUGUGAACUGCAUUUGAAUAUGUUUAGCUAGAGUACUGGAGAGGCAGACGGAAUUCCUAGUGUAGCGGUGAAAUGCGUAGAUAUUAGGAGGAACACCAGUGGCGAAGGCGGUCUGCUGGACAGCAACUGACGCUGAGGCGCGAAAGCGUGGGGAGCAAACAGGAUUAGAUACCCCAGUAGUC
RNAcentral lists this ribosomal RNA (440 nucleotides) under uncultured bacterium. RNAcentral describes it as "partial 16S ribosomal RNA". It matches the Rfam family "Bacterial small subunit ribosomal RNA", at positions 338 to 795 of the family's 1533-position model. The record is from RNAcentral.